AUUUUAUAGAUCCGAAUGAGGAGAAAAACGCAAAGACACUAUCCGCUGACCUGCUGGGUUUGGAAAUUGUGCUUGCAAAGAGCAUCGUCUUUAAUGUGCUCAUGAUUGCAAGAUUAGUCUUUGAGGUUCGCAAGAAGGAGCGAGGAAGGACCUGAGAAAUAAAGCAAAAUUUCUGUCAUCUUUGUUUCUAUUAAUUAUAUCCACUGCUUUUGAUACUGACAAUUAGUCUGCAUUUAUUGUUGCUGUGAAUAGAUUUUUAACAAGCUAAUUUUGCUUAAAGAAUUGUAAAGUUACAAUAGUGACUUUAGCAUUAAGACGGGAGGAGAGUUUCUAUUUUAAAGUUUAUUUUGUAUUCCCUCAAAACUUUCCCUGCCCCUUGGAAAAAAAUCCUCUCUUUAGGGCAAACCUCCCAUGUUUCUUAGGCUAGAAUAGGAUGUUUGCCAACUAAAUUAUACUGAUUGUACAAGAAUUUUUGGAAGAGUAGACUUUGAAAGAUGAUGGGCUUUUUAAAAAUGUCAUGUAACUUUUUUGAAUUCAUGUAUUUUCCUUGCCUAUUUUUAUAUGAUAGCAAUGUUUUGUGUUUUGGUGCAUGUUGCUUACACAAUAAAAAAAUGUUGCACAAUAA
Non-coding RNA from Chrysemys picta bellii (western painted turtle), 625 nucleotides. The record is from RefSeq and is a predicted model, not a curated record. NCBI's taxonomy places the organism in Eukaryota, Metazoa, Chordata, Testudines, Emydidae.